Molecule: ribosomal RNA, 497 nt
Filed under: uncultured bacterium
Lineage: Bacteria
Description: partial 16S ribosomal RNA
Rfam family: Bacterial small subunit ribosomal RNA
Source: RNAcentral
GAUGAACGCUGGCGGCGUGCCUAAUACAUGCAAGUCGAGCGAACGGACGAGAAGCUUGCUUCUCUGAUGUUAGCGGCGGACGGGUGAGUAACACGUGGAUAACCUACCUAUAAGACUGGGAUAACUUCGGGAAACCGGAGCUAAUACCGGAUAAUAUUUUGAACCGCAUGGUUCAAAAGUGAAAGACGGUCUUGCUGUCACUUAUAGAUGGAUCCGCGCUGCAUUAGCUAGUUGGUAAGGUAACGGAUUACCAAGGCAACGAUGCAUAGCCGACCUGAGAGGGUGAUCGGCCACACUGGAACUGAGACACGGUCCAGACUCCUACGGGAGGCAGCAGUAGGGAAUCUUCCGCAAUGGGCGAAAGCCUGACGGAGCAACGCCGCGUGAGUGAUGAAGGUCUUCGGAUCGUAAAACUCUGUUAUUAGGGAAGAACAUAUGUGUAAGUAACUGUGCACAUCUUGACGGUACCUAAUCAGAAAGCCACGGCUAACUACGUG